Molecule: transfer RNA, 73 nt
Filed under: Mus pahari (shrew mouse)
Lineage: Eukaryota; Metazoa; Chordata; Mammalia; Rodentia; Muridae
Also listed under: 5 other names
Description: tRNA-Lys (TTT) (tRNA-Lys-TTT-3-1)
Rfam family: tRNA
About the family: Transfer RNA (tRNA) molecules are approximately 80 nucleotides in length. Their secondary structure includes four short double-helical elements and three loops (D, anti-codon, and T loops).
Source: RNAcentral
GCCUGGAUAGCUCAAUUGGUAGAGCAUCAGACUUUUAAUCUGAGGGUUCAGGGUUCAAGUCCCUGUUCAGGCA